Molecule: ribosomal RNA, 302 nt
Filed under: uncultured bacterium
Lineage: Bacteria
Description: partial 16S ribosomal RNA
Rfam family: Bacterial small subunit ribosomal RNA
Source: RNAcentral
GCAGUCGCCGCGGGAAUACGUAGGGUGCAAGCGUUAAUCGGAAUUACUGGGCGUAAAGCGUGCGCAGGCGGUUAUAUAAGUCGGAUGUGAAAUCCCCGGGCUCAACCUGGGAACUGCAUUUGAGACUGUAUGGCUAGAGUGUGUCAGAGGAUGGUGGAAUUCCCGGUGUAGCGGUGAAAUGCGUAGAGAUCGGGAGGAACAUCAGUGGCGAAGGCGGCCAUCUGGGACAACACUGACGCUGAAGCACGAAAGCGUGGGGAGCAAACAGGAUUAGAUACCCGCGUAGUCCCUGUCUCUUAUAC